Long non-coding RNA from Bactrocera latifrons, 822 nucleotides. RefSeq lists it as uncharacterized. The record is from RefSeq and is a predicted model, not a curated record. The transcript has 2 exons. Lineage: Eukaryota; Metazoa; Arthropoda; Insecta; Diptera; Tephritidae.
ACGGCACGAAGCAUACUCAAAACUCGGAGGAUUUGAAGAUUUAAAAUAACGAAUAUCUUGUGCUAGCUUAAAGUCUCUUAAGUCAUUUAAACCUCAACAACAAAGCACUCAAUAUAUAAAACAAUGGAAAAAGAGUGUUGAGGAAAUACUUCAGCAACGAGGAAAAAAAAGGAGGCACGCUGUGUAAAGACAAUACAAACACAGUCAUUACAUUUGCAUAGCCAACAAAAAGGGGAGUGCUACCAAACGAAGAGGAAAACAGCCGCGCAGUACCAGAAAGAAUAUCGACAGAGACAAAGGGAGAAGAAAAAACAAGAAUCAGAAGGAUUGACCUCGGUUUAUCAGGAAACGGAUAUUUCUGCGGCUCAGUGUGUGAUGGAAAAUGGUAUAACACUAGUCAUGGCGGUCAUCUACGUUUCGCCAAAUCAGAAAAUGCAGGACAUUCAAGAGUUCAUUCACAAAGUUCUGCUAGAAUACACAGAAGAAGGUUCUCGUGUACUUCAAAGAUAUAAUAAAGAUUAUUCUAAACUGCCAUUAAUUUUGGCAGGAGAUUUCAACGUCAACUUUGCUGACAAACAAUCCGAACCACUCACCCAAUUCCUGGGUGAAGAAUUCAAUUUAAAAAUGAAUAAUGACCCAACAAUAUCCACAACAAAAUAUAAUACAUCAAUUGAUGCAGUUUUUUCAAGAUACUUGGACAAAAUUGAAUCUAAAACAUUCGUAUCCUACUUUAGUUACCAUAAGACACUGAUUUCUGUUAUUGAAUGAUCUAAUUUAAGUAAUGUAAUAGAAAUCCGAAAUAAAAAAUUAUUAAUAGAAUAA